RNAcentral lists this ribosomal RNA (497 nucleotides) under uncultured bacterium. Its description in RNAcentral is "partial 16S ribosomal RNA". It matches the Rfam family "Bacterial small subunit ribosomal RNA", at positions 28 to 507 of the family's 1533-position model. The record is from RNAcentral.
GAUGAACGCUGGCGGCGUGCCUAAUACAUGCAAGUCGAGCGAACAGAUGAGGAGCUUGCUCCGCUGACGUUAGCGGCGGACGGGUGAGUAACACGUGGAUAACCUACCUAUAAGACUGGGAUAACUUCGGGAAACCGGAGCUAAUAGCGGAUAAUAUAUUGAACCGCAUGGUUCAAUAGUGAAAGACGGUUUUGCUGGCACUUAUAGAUGGAUCCGCGCCGCAUUAGCUUGUUGGGAAGGUAACGGCUUACCAAGGCAACGAUGCGUAGCCGACCUGAGAGGGUGAUCGGCCACCCUGGAACUGAGACACGGUCCAGACUCCUACGGGAGGCAGCAGUAGGGAAUCUUCCGCAAUGGGCGGAAGCCUGACGGAGCAACGCCGCGUGAGGGAUGAGGGUCUUCGGAUCGUAAAACUCUGUUAUUAGGGAAGAACAAAUGUGUAAGUAACUAUGCACGUCUUGACGGUACCUAAUCAGAAAGCCACGGCUAACUACGUG